Long non-coding RNA from Emys orbicularis (European pond turtle), 373 nucleotides. RefSeq lists it as uncharacterized. Lineage: Eukaryota; Metazoa; Chordata; Testudines; Emydidae. The transcript is spliced from 3 exons. The record is from RefSeq and is a predicted model, not a curated record.
GGCCGCUGCUUCUCUCCGUCCUCCCUUCCCCCCAGGCUGGUGCCAGGCGGGGCUCGCUGCUGCUGCUGGGGCCGGUGACCUUCGAGGAGGUGGCUGUGUAUUUCACCAGGGAAGAGGGGGCUCUGCUGGACCCCGCUCAGAGAGCUCUCUACAGAGCCGUUAUGCAGAACUAUGAGAAUGUGACCUCGCUGGGGAAGCGAAAGAGACUUUACUGGACUUUGUACAAUUUGUCCUCAUCUUUCCUGAAAUGUGGUACCCAGAACUGGACACACUACUCCAGUUCAGGCCUAAUCAGCGUGGAGUAGAGCGGAAGAAUUACUUCUCGUGUCUUGCUUACAACACUCCUGCUAAUACAGCCCAGAAUGAUGUUUGC